GCGUCAAUAGUCUAACGGUAUGAUACGAGCUUCCCAAGCUUGGGACCCGGGUUCAAUUCCCGGUUGACGCACCA
Molecule: transfer RNA, 74 nt
Filed under: Candidatus Woesearchaeota archaeon
Lineage: Archaea; Nanobdellati; Candidatus Woesearchaeota
Description: tRNA-Gly
Rfam family: tRNA
About the family: Transfer RNA (tRNA) molecules are approximately 80 nucleotides in length. Their secondary structure includes four short double-helical elements and three loops (D, anti-codon, and T loops).
Source: RNAcentral